UGUCGUCACUUGCCUGUGCAGCAUGUUGUUGAUAGUGGAUUUUCUAAGCAGAAAGGCUAUAAUCCGGUACUUCUCAUUUCUGUUUGUAUGACAAAUAGUCCACUAUUUCUUUGCAACUUGACUUUAGCACUGCAUUCUGCCUGUCAUCGGUAUGCUCUACUUUCUGUUUUCUUUUGUUAGAAUAUUUGAAGUGAACAUUCUGCCAACUGGUGCAAUCACCUUCAGAUUGCAACUUGUCUGUCCCAUUUACUUUGUAUGCAAGCAUGUGAAUUCUUGGAUUUUGAAUCCUGUAAUCAAUAUCUGUGAAGGCAUUCAUCAUGACUAGUAACAUCAUAAUUAUGUAUGACAUGGUUAAUUAUGGUUGGGUGGGUGAAAAUGUGCAUAACCACAUAAUCAGAUGAACUAAUUUGUGAAUAGGAUGGCCACAGGUUAUAUAUGAAACUAAUGGCACGUACUAACUUAAUGUUUAUACAUAGAUAUUUAUGUGACAUCAGUACUACUAAUAACUCUGAAUUAUAUCUUGCUGUGUGGUAGAAUAUAUUCAUGUCUUUGAACUCACUAGAUUUUGAGUCUAUAUAUUUUGUGAGAGAUUUUUGAAUAAUUGCAGCUUAUCCUUUACUGUAUAUUUGUAGGGUCUAAACUUCAGAAAGGAAAAACUGAAGCAGCUGGACUAAAGCAGUUGGUUACUUGCUUAUCACUAGAAUUCCAUUAUGCCCUUACAAAUGUGCUGCUGCUGCAUGGUUUAAAUUUGAGACAUAAGACCCUACAUGUGUAAUGAAUUGGUGGAUUGAUGUCAUGAUAUGUA
RNAcentral lists this long non-coding RNA (805 nucleotides) under Sorghum bicolor (sorghum). Its description in RNAcentral is "long non-coding RNA (SBIC_LNC006513)". The record is from RNAcentral. Lineage: Eukaryota; Viridiplantae; Streptophyta; Magnoliopsida; Poales; Poaceae.